GGUUGGUGGCGUACUUCCCUAUAGGGCGAAGUCAUCACGUCUGCGUUACGCAUACAGAUACCAGCCCGCCAAUGAGCGGGCUUUUUAUU
RNAcentral lists this small RNA (89 nucleotides) under Kluyvera ascorbata. RNAcentral describes it as "Tryptophan operon leader". It matches the Rfam family "Tryptophan operon leader". Rfam says of the family: At least 6 amino acid operons are known to be regulated by attenuation. Lineage: Bacteria; Pseudomonadati; Pseudomonadota; Gammaproteobacteria; Enterobacterales; Enterobacteriaceae. The record is from RNAcentral.